RNAcentral lists this ribosomal RNA (468 nucleotides) under uncultured bacterium. RNAcentral's name for it is "partial 16S ribosomal RNA". It matches the Rfam family "Bacterial small subunit ribosomal RNA", at positions 28 to 507 of the family's 1533-position model. The record is from RNAcentral.
GACGAACGCUGGCGGCGUGCUUAACACAUGCAAGUCGAACGGAAAGGCCCUGCUUUUGUGGGGUGCUCGAGUGGCGAACGGGUGAGUAACACGGGAGUAACCUGCCCUUGACUUUGGGAUAACUUCAGGAAACUGGGGCUAAUACCGGAUAGGAGCUCCUGCUGCAUGGUGGGGGUUGGAAAGUUUCGGCGGUUGGGGAUGGACUCGCGGCUUAUCAGCUUGUUGGUGGGGUAGUGGCUUACCAAGGCUUUGACGGGUAGCCGGCCUGAGAGGGUGACCGGCCACAUUGGGACUGAGAUACGGCCCAGACUCCUACGGGAGGCAGCAGUGGGGAAUAUUGCACAAUGGGCGGAAGCCUGAUGCAGCAAUGCCGCGUGCGGGAUGACGGCCUUCGGGUUGUAAACCGCUUUCGCCUGUGACGAAGCGUGAGUGACGGUAAUGGGUAAAGAAGCACCGGCUAACUACGUG